AUUGAACGCUAGCGGGAUGCUUUACACAUGCAAGUCGAACGGCAGCGCGGACUUCGGUCUGGCGGCGAGUGGCGAACGGGUGAGUAAUGUAUCGGAACGUGCCCAGUAGCGGGGGAUAACUACGCGAAAGCGUAGCUAAUACCGCAUACGCCCUACGGGGGAAAGCAGGGGAUCGUAAGACCUUGCACUAUUGGAGCGGCCGAUAUCGGAUUAGCUAGUUGGUGAGGUAACGGCUCACCAAGGCGACGAUCCGUAGCUGGUUUGAGAGGACGACCAGCCACACGGGAGCUGAGACACGGCCCAGACUCCUACGGGAGGGAGCAGUGGGGAAUUUUGGACAGUGGGGGCAACCCUGAUCCAGCCGUCCCGCGUGUGCGAUGAAGGCCUUCGGUUUGUAAAGCACUUUUGGCAGGAAAGAAACGUCGCGGGCUAAUACCCCGUGGAACUGACGGUACCUGCAGAAGAAGCACCGGCUAACUACGUG
RNAcentral lists this ribosomal RNA (484 nucleotides) under uncultured bacterium. Its description in RNAcentral is "partial 16S ribosomal RNA". It matches the Rfam family "Bacterial small subunit ribosomal RNA", at positions 29 to 507 of the family's 1533-position model. The record is from RNAcentral.